GUCUACAGCCAUACCACCCUGAAUGCUCCUGGUCUUAUCUAAUUUCGGAAGCUAAGCAGGGUUGGGCCUGGUUAGUACUUGGAUGGGAGACUGCCUAGAAAUACCAGGUGCUGUCGGUU
Callithrix jacchus (white-tufted-ear marmoset) is the source of this 119-nucleotide ribosomal RNA. Lineage: Eukaryota; Metazoa; Chordata; Mammalia; Primates; Cebidae. The record is from Ensembl.